GACAGAGGGGGCAAACGUUGCUCGGAAUCACUGGGCGUAAAGGGCGUGUAGGCGGGUAGGAAAGUCAGAUGUGAAAUCCCUGGGCUCAACCCAGGAACUGCAUUUGAAACUCCCUUUCUUGAGUACCGGAGAGGAAGGUGGAAUACCUGGUGUAGAGGUGAAAUUCGUAGAUAUCAGGUGGAACACCAGUGGCGAAGGCGGCCUUCUGGACGGUAACUGACGCUGAGACGCGAAAGCGUGGGGAGCAAACAGG
RNAcentral lists this ribosomal RNA (253 nucleotides) under uncultured bacterium. RNAcentral describes it as "partial 16S ribosomal RNA". It matches the Rfam family "Bacterial small subunit ribosomal RNA", at positions 524 to 776 of the family's 1533-position model. The record is from RNAcentral.